Molecule: long non-coding RNA, 250 nt
Filed under: Durio zibethinus
Lineage: Eukaryota; Viridiplantae; Streptophyta; Magnoliopsida; Malvales; Malvaceae
Description: long non-coding RNA (DZIB_LNC001762)
Source: RNAcentral
GAGCCUGAUACUGGUAGCCGUUUCCAAAGUAGUUCCCAUGACUAGGAGAGAAGUUGUACGUGGCAGAUCCAAGAAGUAAGGGUCCGUGAUUGUCAGCAGGUCCAGCGUAAACAUAGGGUCUGUCAUACACGUACUGCGGGUACCUAUCAGGGACUCUAGGAUAGAAUGUUUUGUCAGCAGCUACGUUAGUGACUCGUGGACCAUAUCCUGCACCAUUGGCACGAGGUCUCUUGGGUUGAGGCUUUGCAGC